GAGUGUGGGAAGGGGAGGGGGGUGGGGGAAUAUGUGCUCCUUAAUCUAUUCACAUGUGCGUGCUGCCGUCACUUCACUCGCCGGCUAGCAGCACUCCCCCCUCCCUCCCUCAAAACACCAUCUUAUCAUACCAUAUACAGAUCGUGGCUUCGGGGCUGACCAUCACCACCACCACCACAACACACCAAACGCCUCCCCAAAAGCCAUAAUAAAAAAUGUCACAGUGCUUAUUACCUCACCCUUGGCCCAGAGACCUACCCCCUAAACUCCUUAAAUGCGUAUGGGUGAAAGGAUCGAUAAUUUAGCUUAAGUAUAGAGGGGUAAAAGUGACUGUCCCAGCGUUUGAUUCUAUUAAAUAUGGGUCACAAAAACAUUGAUUUUUUUUUAAGGUAUUUGGAUUAUCUUUUCGUUGUUUAUAUUAAAGUUGUUAGCGUCUUGCAUUUAUCUUCCACGUCCUAAUAUAAUUUGUACAGUUCGUCAUAUAUUUGUACAUUUCUCCACAUAUUUGUACAGGUAGUAAGAUGUUUCCGCUUGGUGGAAUCAUAUUUAGCAGCGACCUCACUGUAUGCUCUUAGUUUGUCAUUGGACUAAAGGGGGGUUAAAACUACGGCCGCUCCACCACGGGUCACAGCCUCAAGUUAAAGAAACCACCGGGAGAGAAAACUUUUUAGAGGUAUAACUUUGGGGUAAACGUUGUGGACAUUUGGGGUAAAAGUUGUGGAAAUUUGAGGUAAAAGUUGUGGACAUUUGGGGUAAAAGUUGUGGACAUUUGGGGUAAAAGUUGUGGAUCUUUAGGGUAAAAGUUGUGGACAUUUGGGGUAAAAGUUAUGGAUCAUUGGAUUAACCUGUCAGGGAUGUCGUGAGGACAGACUUGAUUAACACUGGCACAUGAUGAGGUACAAUACAUUCAAGACCCCAAACACGACCACAACUUACCAACAGCGUGUAACAGAGAGCGGAUGAGCGGUAUAUAAGCUGCCAUGAUGUGAAGAGGGUAACAUAAUGUAAAUAACUAUGUAAAUAAUAAUAAUUAGGAAGAGAUAAAGAUCAGUUUUCCAGCCAACGAAGCAUGACAGAGACAACAGGAUGUUUUCAGUAUAAUAUGGGAGGGUUGAGGUGAAUAUCUUGGUAUAGAGAGAGAAAGAAAGAGACUCAUUUGACCCCCACAGUGUGUUGUUGACUUCUGUGUAGUGUGUUACUGUUACUCCAACACAUGACCACCCUCAACAUGCAAGCGCUGAUGGUGUGUAGCUUACUUCUGCCCCUCCUCCAGACUGGUGUGUGUAUCCGAUGUUACCACUGUGAGGAGGAAGUGGAGG
Long non-coding RNA from Homarus americanus (American lobster), 1319 nucleotides. RefSeq lists it as uncharacterized. The transcript has 3 exons. The record is from RefSeq and is a predicted model, not a curated record. NCBI's taxonomy places the organism in Eukaryota, Metazoa, Arthropoda, Malacostraca, Decapoda, Nephropidae.